ACAUCGUCAACGCAGGUCAAAGCGUAGUAUCUGUUCUUAUAAGCUUCAUCUCUGAUAGGGGUUCUAUAUGGACCCAAAACUAUUAAAUGUAUUUCAGGAAGUUGGCGGAGCGCUUGAAGCCUUCUUCACCUCCGCCGCAGGUCGGACUCGUAUUGCACUUUUUCAGGGAUCGGCCCAUCGGUU
Molecule: small nuclear RNA, 183 nt
Organism: Dermacentor andersoni
Lineage: Eukaryota; Metazoa; Arthropoda; Arachnida; Ixodida; Ixodidae
Product: U2 spliceosomal RNA
Source: RefSeq, a predicted model, not a curated record